RNAcentral lists this ribosomal RNA (497 nucleotides) under uncultured bacterium. Its description in RNAcentral is "partial 16S ribosomal RNA". It matches the Rfam family "Bacterial small subunit ribosomal RNA", at positions 28 to 507 of the family's 1533-position model. The record is from RNAcentral.
GAUGAACGCUGGCGGCGUGCCUAAUACAUGCAAGUCGAGCGAACGGACGAGAAGCUUGCUUUUCUGAUGUUAGCGGCGGACGGGUGAGUAACACGUGGAUAACCUACCUCUAAGACUGGGAUAACUUCGGGAAACCGGAGCUAAUACCGGAUAAUAUUUUGAACCGCAUGGUUCAAAAGUGAAAGACGGUCUUGCUGUCACUUAUAGAUGGAUCCGCGCUGCAUUAGCUAGUUGGUAAGGUAACGGCUUACCAAGGCAACGAUGCAUAGCCGACCUGAGAGGGUGAUCGGCCACACUGGAACUGAGACACGGUCCAGACUCCUACGGGAGGCAGCAGUAGGGAAUCUUCCGCAAUGGGCGAAUGCCUGACGGAGCAACGCCGCGUGAGUGAUGAAGGUCUUCGGAUCGUAAAACUCUGUUAUUAGGGAAGAACAUAUGUGUAAGUAACUGUGCACAUCUUGACGGUACCUAAUCAGAAAGCCACGGCUAACUACGUG